CCCUUAGAUGUUCUGGGCUGCACGCGCGCUACACUGACGCACGCAACAGGUGCCUGCUCCGAGAGGACUGGGUAAUCAUUUGAGUGUGCGUCGUGAUGGGGAUAGAAUAUUGUAAUUAUUACUCUUCAACGAGGAAUUCCUAGUAAGCGCAAGUCAGCAGCUUGCGCUGAUUACGUCCCUGCCCUUUGUACACACCGCCCGUCGCUCCUACCGAUGAGCGUUUUGGCGAAGACGGUUUGAGUAGCUGCGUAAUUUCGUGUUGUUGACUCCGGCAGUUUGAGCCUUCACGUUUAGAGGAAGGAGAAGUCGUAACA
This 314-nucleotide ribosomal RNA is filed under the name uncultured eukaryote. Its description in RNAcentral is "partial 18S ribosomal RNA". It matches the Rfam family "Eukaryotic small subunit ribosomal RNA", at positions 1470 to 1796 of the family's 1831-position model. The record is from RNAcentral.